CCUACGGGAGGCAGCAGUGGGGAAUAUUGGGCAAUGGAGGAAACUCUGACCCAGCAACGCCGCGUGAAUGAUGAAGGUCUUCGGAUUGUAAAGUUCUUUUCUAAGGGAAGAAGAAAGUGACGGUACCUUAGGAAUAAGCCUCGGCUAACUACGCGCCAGCAGCCGCGGUAAUACGUAGGAGGCAAGCGUUAUCCGGAAUGACUGGGCGUAAAGGGUGCGUAGGUGGUGCAGCAAGUUAGUAGCGUAAUUCCGGGGCUCAACUUCGGCACUGCUACUGAAACUGUUGGACUUGAGUGCAGGGGAGGCAACUGGAAUUUCUAGUGUAGCGGUGAAAUGCGUAGAUAUUAGGAAGAACACCGGUGGCGAAGGCGGGUUGCUGGACUGUAACUGACACUGAGGCACGAAAGCGUGGGGAGCAAACAGGAUUAGAUACCCGGGUAGUC
Molecule: ribosomal RNA, 443 nt
Filed under: uncultured bacterium
Lineage: Bacteria
Description: partial 16S ribosomal RNA
Rfam family: Bacterial small subunit ribosomal RNA
Source: RNAcentral